GCCAGCCUCACCUCCAGGAUAUCCAUGUUCUCCUUCACCCGGAUCUUGGCUGACUUGAGCUUCUCUCGUAGCAGUUUGUAGUAUGUCGACGGAAUGUUGAGGAAUUCCAUGCCUCUCUCUUUCAGGCGCUGGCUCGUUGAUGGGUAUCUUGAUGGACUCCUCAUAAUUGGUCAUCACGAUGGAACGCAGAGAGCUGUACUCCGUGUGCACCAUCUUGUCAUCCACGGACCAGAAACGGUGGAACUGCAGGUUAUUCAGGAGGGGCUGUAGCUGCAGACACCGAGGCACGGAAAGACGUGGCAGCGUGUUCCAGAUCACACCGGGUCCGACUCCAGUCCUUGCUCAUUUCAGUGCAGUCACGAAGAAGUGAAGUGAUUUGCUCAGUCAUACAGCUGGUGCGGGGUGGGGCUUCCCCAGACCUCAUACCUCUCUUCUUUCCAAGCCCCUGCCUGAAGCUUACCUCUCUGUACUGUCACCCCCCACUGGGGAGGAAGGGAAGCCCUUCAGGGUGGCUGGUGGCUCUCAUCAGCCUCUGUACACUGGCCAAGCAUUACGCUGGUCAGGCUUGAGGGAGAAGUCUGUGCUUCGAGGCACGAGGGUGGGAUGGCUUAAGGAGUCGGGGUGAGGGCUUCUCCGUGGGUGCCAACGGCGAGAGAGCGGAAGCAGCCAAGUUAACUCACCGUCUGCAGCACGGCAAACUUCACCUUCCCAAACUUAUCUUGCUCCACCCAGGGUUCCCGGAUGAUUUUGGCGCCUCUUUCCCGGGCUUUCUGCGGGGGGAGAUGGGGGUGGGAGGGGCGGUCAGGGCUGGACCCUCCCAGAGCUGCUGCCUGCUGCUCCUGGGUGAUCACCGCUCCGUGAGCCUGCUGCAGCCUCCUCCAGCCCCAGAUGAGGAAAUUGAGGCACAGAGAAGUUAAGUCACUUGCCCAAAGCCGCACAGCUAAUGAGAUCCAGACCCGGGCAGUCUGCCUCUGGAAUCUAUGCUCUGAACCUCAAAACUGCCUCCCCAGCCGUGGUCUCACCUGUACAAUGUAGUCACAGUCCUGCACCUCAAAGGCGACGUCCUUCACUCCGUCGCCGUGUUUCACCAGGGGUUGAGAGCAGAGGAGAAAAUGAACACAAUCUAAGACACAGAGGAGAAGAAGCACCCUGCCCUGGCGUCUUACCUGCUUGGCGUUGCCGACCCAGAAGGUCACGGAGUGGAAGUGGAGGAAUCGGCCUCUCUCGGGCUGCAGAGAGACAAGGAGUGAGGCCGAGGCCCUGGACGUGGGUUCAGACAAGUGCAGGUGGAGCCGCGUCCCCUAGCCACCUCCCUGGUCCCCAGUCUCAGCCCAGCACUGCACCCCCGCCCUACCCCACCAGCCCACAGCCUCUCCAAGCAGCGAAUCCGGUUUGUUGUGUUGAACUUGAGCUCCUAGCGGGUGGGGGUGGGGAAGCCCCCUCCGGAGACCUGCCCCGCUUUCCCGGAGAGAGACAGCCUUAUGCUGCAGCCACACGAAUCUCAGCCGGAUCUCGGGAAGGACUUCCAGACAGGUUUAAGAGACCGGCGGGAAUUUAAGAGGAGGUUGACGUUUUUUUUAGAGGGGGCGAGGGUUGAACCUAGCUCACUCGGGCGGGUGGGGGGCGGGCAGGAAUGAACUCGCGCGCACGUCCCGGGUGUCACAAACCCGCUGUACUUAUUUCUCUUCUGAUUUUUGCCGACAUCCCAGUCUUGCGGGGCCCCGAACCCACGUUUCUUCUUCUGCUUACCUUCUUUCCCUUGUCGCUGUACGACAUCUGAGGAGAAAGAAAAGGAUGGUAAGAUUCGAACGCUCAGACGCCAGGCGUUUCUGGAAGUCUCGCUUCCAGACGGAGCCCCCGGCCCCGGCGGAGGCAGCCACGCGGGCACGUACCAUGAUUGGUCUCGGUCAAACUUCCUGCCAGGGAGACUGGGAUGAGAGGCCAGGAGGGGUGCUGGACAGACUAUUUAACCCCCCGCAGGUCCCGCCUCUGGCCUCUUGGCCUUCCUCGGGGUGGGGUCUGAGUCGAGCACCUCACUCCUAGGCCUGGGAGCCUCUGAUCUCGCGGCAACCUCACUGAACGGGGCGAUGCAGGCCCAGAGAGGGGCGGGGGGUGAGGGUGAUGGCCCAAGGCCCUAGCCAGUGGCCUGGGCGAGGGGGUCAAAGGCACCCUAGUUCCAGGACUCUGAGCUGGGACUGCAACCUCUGCCCUUCAGAAGCCAAGGCCAGCCGGAAUGCGGCGCUUGCUCCAAAAUUCUUAUUUAGAGAGAAUUUAAGGGGAAAUGAGGGGCUGGUCUCGAAGCCCUGCUUGCAUGGCAAGUGUGUGGUUCAUAUUUAGGUAAAAGAGAUGUAUUCCAUCAUAUUCCACAGUGCUAGGAGGCACUGGUAUGGGGCUCGAGUCCUUUGUGGCUGGGGACCGUCACCGAACCCCUCUGAGCCUCAGUCUCCCCAUCUGUACAAUGGCAGCGAUAAUAGGGUGAUGGGGAUUAAGUGAGAUAAAGCAGAAAAGUCUUCGCAGGAGAAUCUGGCACACAGUAAGGUCUCUGUUACUGUUGGUCAUGAUCGAUUAUGUUUCUUUGGGGUUUAGGGGGCUGAUGGAGAAUGAGGGGGCCUUGGCACUGCCACAGCCUGAGUUUGGGGAAAGAGGUUAUGACUCUGCCCCUGGCCCAGGUUCUCAGUAUUUCCAGGGCUGGGGGCGAGGGCGGAGCAGGAAGGCGGGGGUUCUUGUUCCCAGCACCCCUGCACGUGAGUCCUCAGGUCUUGCUUUCCUGGAAGAUGGCGUGGUGACUGCCGGCCAGCUGUAGCAUUUACCUGAGGGCUCCAGGACAGUCUCCGGCCUCCAGCUCCGCCCCUGCCCCUAGAAACUCAGUGGCUGAGCCAUCUCACCUUCUUCCCAUGGAACUGACUUUAUCAACUCUCCUCAUCACCCGGGAACUCAGUCCCAAUGCUAGCCCUUGUGGCCCGUGACUGUGCUACGGCCCCCUACCCUCUUGCACGUUGACCCCCAAAAUGCCCUGUGUCAGCCUCUUAAAAAAUAUAUAUGGAAAGACAGAUGAUGGUGGCUAGUGCUGACCUCAAGGAUCAUUCGGGCCAACAGUUUGAUUUUUCAGAUGAGAAAAAUCGACAAAUAGCAAGAAGGUGCCGGAAGCUAUCUACCCCCCUCUUCCUUUCCUUCCCCCUUCCCAUUUCUCAUCCUCUGCACUGGGGUGCAGAGUUGGCUUAGAACAGGAAGGCGCCCCCUCCCUGCCUUUCUCAGCAAACCCAGCCAGCCCCGCAGGAAUCCCUCUCAGAACCCCCAGCCCCAGGUCUGAGGUUCGGCUAAGCCUUGCUAUGGGUCAGCUUCAGCCAGCAACCCUGGAGGUGGGGCCCAGGACGGCUAGAGAACAUUCCAGACCACGUAGAUAGCAAGCGGCUGAGUAGAACUAGAUUAUUCUAACUCCACGGCCCCCACUUUUCAUUGCUGCUUUGCCUUCUGUGUAUGUAGGAAAUGUUGAUAUUCGCUGGACAGAUGGGGAAACUGAGGCUCGGAGAGGGGAACACACGUCCGCGAGGUUUUGGAGUCGGGUUCCAUUCCAGCGGUGCAGACACCUUCUCCCUCCUUUUCUCUGGUUUCUGGGCAAAUCUGGAGGCUGGGCCCAGCUGAUGACAGGAUAGCAGUGACCGGGUGUCGCUGCCACUGCUCUUUGUUCCUGAACUGUCACCUUGUGCCCAAACUAGGAGCUGGGCUUGUGGAGGGCAUCCGCCGCCGUGCCCUGGCGUGCAGAAAUGCAGAAACGCAGCGGGCUGGAGGCCGCUGCUCGUCGCAGGGCCCGCUCGCGGGGCCGAGCCUUGGUUGGUAUCGGGGAACUUGAGUUCAGGCAGCUCAUGUCCCCCUGGGGCUACGCUGUCUGUACAAGCUCUGUGGUUGAUGCCCAACACCUGCUUCCCUCGGGAGUCUGGGUACAUGCUAUGCAGGAGGCGCCCCUGUGACCAGCCUCUCAUAAAGACCCUGGACGCUUCCCUGAGAGAUGUGUCACAGCCCCUCGAUGGAGGAGUUAAGCGCGUCCUGUGUGACCUUGCUGGGAGGGGCCCCUUGCAGCUCGCAUCUGGUUUCCUGCAGACCUACCCCAUGCCCUUUACGCUGGUCUGAUUCUGCUCUGUGUCCUUUUGCUGUAAAACAUCUUAGCCACAGGUAAGACUAUAUACGUGAGUCCUCUUGGCACACUGUCAAACCUGGGUGGGGGUGGACUUGGGGACCCGGCGGUGACAGCCAUGGGAUUCACGUGAUGAACCCUGACUCACUGAAAGAUGGCAGAAGCAUUGUUUGACGAAAGGUAGGAUGGAGGGACAAGGGAUCUUUUCCCUAAGAACUGAACGUGGGAUUCCUUGCUGUAUAAACCCUGGCCGUCUUCUUCCUUAGGACCGUGACCAAGGUGGCUUUGGCCCCGAGCUCCUUUCUGAAGACCUUGCCGAGGACUUGGUACCUGCCCAGGGACCAUGGGGAGGCCUGCGCGGCCGUCCAAACAGAUGACACACCUAUGCUGCCCAGGUGGCUGUGGAGCUCCUCGUGGUGCGAGGCAGUAGCCUGAGCUGCAGCCGAAUCUGCUGUGAGAGACGAAAUCCACCUCUGGGAUUUGACGGUGAAAGAGGCGCCCUCAGGGGAGGUGACGGGCUGGGGCCCCCGGCGGAUAUUGGCUGCGCUGGCUGAAACGGGGUGGGGGUGGGGGACACCCGGUGCCAGAUGCCUUUGGGUUUUGUUCUCUCUUCAAAACAGGAAGGAGAAAGAGUUCCGACAUUCCCAGAGCUGGGCUUGGGCUGGACCAAGCAUGUCGAAAGCUUGCAUUAUUCCCUCCUCUAAGUGAGAGGGAAAAGGUGGCAUCAGUUUCUAGAGCUGGAGCAAAGCUUUCCAGAAAUCGGAGGGGACAAAAGAGGGGCUGGGGGGUGGGGAGGUGCUCCGGCUGCCGCUGCCGCGGCCCCCUCACCCUAUAGAUGCUGAAUUUACUGCUAGGGGUUCAAGUCGACUCGCAAUGAAAAUAAAGGGGGAGGAAUUUAUUUUUAAACGGCUUUGUAUUUUGUGCUGUUGUAUCUGGCCGUAUGAUUAAAAUCGACGUAAAACGUGAUACGUUUGUAAUUGCAUAAGUGCUAGGGGGAUGGUUGCAAUUAGGGAGAAGUGGAAAAAAAAAAUGUCACCGGGACACGACACUCUUGGCAUUUUGCCACAUGGGCAGCUAGGAAUUUGAAUUCUUCAAGAACCGGAGUUAGAACAAGCCUCCGUAAUUGAUGAUUCUGACUAUGAUUUUUGCCUAUUGGAUCCUUUUGGGGAAAACAAAAACAAAAACAAAAAGCCUAGAAAAGAGAGGCCAUCUCUAAACAGAGAUACACUUUUGAGGUUUAAACCAAGCUGUUUUUCAUUGCUAAUGAGCUCUCGCGACACCCCAUGUCUGACCUUUAGGGACGGAUGCUUUUCCAUGAGGUCCAUGCACAUUUGUGAGGAGGUCAGCUUGGGCUCUAAGACCAACGUGACAAAAGGGCUUGGGAAGCCUCGCUCGUCUCUUGGACUUGGGACCCAGAGGUCUGGCGGCCCUGCAGCGUCUCAGCCUGGCUGCAGCAAAAGAGCUGCUGGUUCCCUGCCCCCGCCCUGGCUUUAUGGAGGACUAAUCGACAAAUAAAAUUUGAGUACGAAACAUGCCAGCAAUGCGAAGCGACUGGCUAGAAUUGAAAUCGAGAGAACCAGUUCAGCCUUACCACCUGGAACCUUCCGCGUGCGAGAGGCACCCCGGGUGUAGUGCCUGAACCCACUUCCUCCCCUCCUUGUCUAAUUGUCCUUCCGGUUCUGCAGCAAGUAAUAUUUACGCGAUUUGCAUCGUGAUUUAAAAAUGUGUACACACAGCUUGUCGAGGGUCAUACUUACUGAAGUGUAAUGUACACAGAGUGAGGUUGACUCUUUUCUGUUCCAUGCAUUUUGGAGACGUAAGCAUUUGUGUAACUCUUACCACGAUCAAGAUAUGAAGGAAUUCCAUUACCCUAAGCAUACCCACCCACCCAUCCUUUGUAGUGUGUCUUUGCGUAGUGUGUCUCUCUCCCAUCCCGAUCCCUGGAUAACGGCUGAUCUAUUUCUCAUCCCUGGAGUUUUGUCUUUUCCUGAGUAACACAGAUGACUCAGUCAGUAUGUGGCCUUUUGAGUCUGGCUGCUUUCACACACAUAAUGCCUUCGAGAGUCCUCCAUGGUGGUGUCUGUCUGCCGAUGUGUUCCUUCUGUUGCUGAGGCUUCUGCCCGGGUCUGUGAAUGCUUCUUGUGAACUUUUUACAAUCAGCUGACUGAUAAAGAAGACCGAGUCUCGAUUACAAAACGAUAGAAAAGCUUUGGAGAACAGACGCUGGGAGACAGAUUUCUUCAUUUUCCAAAGAAGAGGGUGUUUACCGUGCUCUCUUAAAGGUGACGCCUCCAGAAACCGAGGUGUUAGAAUUUUAUUUAAAGCGAUAAAGAGAAGCAACGGAAACCGGACUACGCUAUGUUACGUGGAAGCAGAAAUGGAAAGGGCCAGUCGAGGUGGGGAAAAGGCCUUGUCUUUCAAAAACAAAGGAAUGAAACGUCUUGGUCCUUCGUAAUGAGUGGAUAGUAGUUUGAGCUGAGUUUCUGGCAUUGACAACCACGAGUCUUGACUAAGAGGAGGCGGCUAACCACAACAACGCUCGUUAUGA
This is a long non-coding RNA of Pteropus alecto (black flying fox), 6680 nucleotides long. RefSeq lists it as uncharacterized. Lineage: Eukaryota; Metazoa; Chordata; Mammalia; Chiroptera; Pteropodidae. The transcript has 9 exons. The record is from RefSeq and is a predicted model, not a curated record.